GGUUAAAAACUGAGGGGAUGAGCUGUGGAUAGGGGUGAAAGGCCAAUCAAACUUCGUGAUAGCUGGUUCUCUCCGAAAUGCAUUUAGGUGCAGCGUCACGUGUUUCUUGCCGGAGGUAGAGCUACUGGAUGGCCGAUGGGCCCUACAAGGUUACUGACGUCAGCCAAACUCCGAAUGCCGGUAAGUGAGAGCGCAGCAGUGAGACCGUGGGGGAUAAGCUUCAUGGUCGAGAGGGAAACAGCCCAGAACACCGACUAA
This 258-nucleotide ribosomal RNA is filed under the name Ochromonas sp. CCMP1393. RNAcentral's name for it is "partial Bacterial large subunit ribosomal RNA". It matches the Rfam family "Bacterial large subunit ribosomal RNA", at positions 787 to 1042 of the family's 2925-position model. Lineage: Eukaryota; Chrysophyceae; Chromulinales; Chromulinaceae. The record is from RNAcentral.